UGGGGAAUCUUGGACAAUGGGGGCAACCCUGAUCCAGCCAUGCCGCGUGAGUGAUGAAGGCCUUAGGGUCGUAAAGCUCUUUCGCCUGUGAAGAUAAUGACGGUAGCAGGUAAAGAAACCCCGGCUAACUCCGUGCCAGCAGCCGCGGUAAUACGGAGGGGGUUAGCGUUGUUCGGAAUUACUGGGCGUAAAGCGCACGUAGGCGGACCAGAAAGUUGGGGGUGAAAUCCCGGGGGCUCAACCUUGGAACUGCCUUUAAAACUGCUAGUCUAGAGACCGGAAGAGGUUAGGGGAAUACCUAGUGUAGAGGUGAAAUUCGUAGAUAUUAGGUGGAACACCAGUGGCGAAGGCGCCUAACUGGUCCGGUACUGACGCUGAGGAACGAAAGCGUGGGGAGCAAACAGGAUUAGAUA
Molecule: ribosomal RNA, 413 nt
Filed under: uncultured bacterium
Lineage: Bacteria
Description: bacterial SSU rRNA
Rfam family: Bacterial small subunit ribosomal RNA
Source: RNAcentral